Molecule: ribosomal RNA, 669 nt
Filed under: Epinephelus chlorostigma (brownspotted grouper)
Lineage: Eukaryota; Metazoa; Chordata; Actinopteri; Perciformes; Serranidae
Also listed under: 1 other name
Description: partial 12S ribosomal RNA
Rfam family: Bacterial small subunit ribosomal RNA
Source: RNAcentral
UACCGCGGUUAUACGAGAGACCCAAGUUGAUAGGCUCCGGCGUAAAGCGUGGUUAAGGAAUGAUAAAUACUAAAGCCGAACGCUUACUAGGCUGUUAUACGCUUUACGAAAGUAAGAAGUACAUCCACGAAGGUGGCUUUAUUUCACCUGAACCCACGAAAGCCAAGACACAAACUGGGAUUAGAUACCCCACUAUGCUUCGCCCUAAACAUUGAUAGCUUUAUACAACCCCUAUCCGCCUGGAAACUACGAGCAACAGCUUAAAACCCAAAGGACUUGGCGGUGCUUUAGACCCACCUAGAGGAGCCUGUUCUAUAACCGAUAACCCCCGUUUAACCUCACCUUUCCUUGUCAUUUCCGCCUAUAUACCGCCGUCGCCAGCUUACCCUGUGAAGGUCCCCUAGUAAGCACAAUUGGUACAACCCAAAACGUCAGGUCGAGGUGUAGCGUAUGGAGAGGGAAGAAAUGGGCUACAUUCCCUAUUACAGCGAAUCACGGAUAAUAUUACUGAAACGUGUAUCUAGAAGGAGGAUUUAGCAGUAAGCGGAAAGCAGAGCGUCCCGCUGAAACUGGCCCUGAAGCGCGCACACACCGCCCGUCACUCUCUCCAAGCAUUUCUUUUUAAUUUAACUUAAAACAUCACACCAGCAAAGGGGAGGCAAGUCGUAA